Arachis ipaensis is the source of this 313-nucleotide non-coding RNA. Lineage: Eukaryota; Viridiplantae; Streptophyta; Magnoliopsida; Fabales; Fabaceae. The record is from RefSeq and is a predicted model, not a curated record.
CUCUCGUCACUCUCUUCUCUGCUCUCUCGUCACUCUCACCUCUCUCGCCGCCUUCCCUGCGCUCACUUCGCCAGUGGUAGAAGAAGACGGAACCAGCAUCUUGUCCCUCGGGUGGUGGUGGUCUUCGUCUUCUUGUUUUGGCCAUUAAUUCAGUUGGUCAGUUUUCUUCACCGUCGAUCCCAAGUGAGUUUCCUUCGGCCCUGUUCUUUCAAUGUUAAUUUCGAUGUAUCUUAGGGUUUCAUAGUGAAAUUAGAAUUUUAUGGUGGUGGUGGUUGUUGUUGUAUGUGGAUUUUUUUUAUUAAUUGUUGAAGCU